GAAGUUGACCAAACAGUCGCUGUUUAGUUUUUAUAAAACUAAAAAGAGGAAAGUCCGGGCUCCUUAGAGCAAGGUGCCAGGUAACUCCUGGAGAGCGUGAGCUUAUGACUAGUGCAACAGAAAGAAAACCACCAAAUAUAUUUUUUAUUGUAAUAAAAACAUAUUGGAAAGGGUGAAAAGGUGCGGUAAAAGCGCACCGCAUAAUUGGUAACAAUUAUGGCACGGUAAACUCCACCUGGAGCAAAGCCAAAUAGAGGUUAUAAAUUGGUAUUGCUCGUACCAAAAAAACCUGGGUAGGCUGCUUGAGUUAGUAAGCAAUUACUAUCCUAGAUAAAUGACUGUUCAAAACAGAACCCGGCUUAUAGGUCAACUUCCGAA
Molecule: RNase P RNA, 378 nt
Filed under: Buchnera aphidicola (Muscaphis stroyani)
Lineage: Bacteria; Pseudomonadati; Pseudomonadota; Gammaproteobacteria; Enterobacterales; Erwiniaceae
Description: RNase P RNA component class A
Rfam family: Bacterial RNase P class A
About the family: Ribonuclease P (RNase P) is a ubiquitous endoribonuclease, found in archaea, bacteria and eukarya as well as chloroplasts and mitochondria. Its best characterised activity is the generation of mature 5'-ends of tRNAs by cleaving the 5'-leader elements of precursor-tRNAs.
Source: RNAcentral